Molecule: ribosomal RNA, 257 nt
Filed under: uncultured bacterium
Lineage: Bacteria
Description: partial 16S ribosomal RNA
Rfam family: Bacterial small subunit ribosomal RNA
Source: RNAcentral
UACGUAGGGUGCGAGCGUUAUCCGGAAUUAUUGGGCGUAAAGAGCUCGUAGGCGGUUUGUCGCGUCUGUCGUGAAAGUCCGGGGCUUAACCCCGGAUCUGCGGUGGGUACGGGCAGACGUAGAGUGCAGUAGGGGAGACUGGAAUUCCGUGGUGUAGCGGUGGAAUGCGCAGAUAUCAGGAGGAACACCGAUGGCGAAGGCAGGUCUCGUGGGCUGUAACUGACGCUGAGGAGCGAAAGGCAUGGGGAGCGAACAGG